CGAGGUGGCGGCAGGUUACUCCUCUGCAGGCGGGUUCUCACUAGCUGGCUGCGUUGUUCUCUGUGGCAGGCCGGGAGCUGUAGUUCCUGUGCCUUCUCAGCCCUGCAGCAGUGGCCCUGUCUGUCUGUCCUUUACUGGACAUGUGCCGUUCACACCAGAGUCCCCGUAGGUCAUCGGGGACAGUGGAAUUUCCCUGUUUUUCCCUGGUACAGGGUUGGGGUUUAGGGUUAUGGCCAUUUAGGGUUAGCGUUACGGUUAGCUUAGAAGGCUGGGUUUGGGUUUGGGUUAGGCCUAUUUGUUGGCCAUGUAGACCCCUUAGCACCCCCCUAGUGCACUCUGGACUACUCUUUCAGUCUUCCUGCUGCCCCAGAGCUGGAUCUGGGCCCUCUAGACCCCUUCGGAMCCCUCUUGUUCCACCAGAACCCCUCCGGAGACCUUGGUUGUGCCCCAGAGCUGUGUUCUGGCCCUCCACACCCUGCACAACCUCUCUUGUCCCCUCAGACCACCUCCGCACGUCUUCCUUGCUCCCCUCCACACCCUUUAGCAGCCCUCUGUUCUGCUCUGGUCCCCUCCUUUGAAUUUUUUGUUUCCCCCUGCAGGCCUCUGUUGGCCCUUUGCACCCCUUAGCUUCACUCUAGUGCGCUCUGGACUAUUCUUUCAGCCUUUCUUUGUGCCCCACAGCUGUCCUUUGGCCCUCCAGUCCCUUUAGAUGGGGCGGCCCUGACAGUGGGACAUGAAAAAGACACCUUGGACUACAUCCAGCCGAAGAAACGUAAGCCGAAGGAUCUGAGUAAAUAACUGCUUGUCUAGGUCUGUUACCUCACAACACAUUGCCAGAGUUUUUUUUAUGAACGAUCCUCCUUGGGGAAGCGCCUGUUCGUUCCGUGAAUAUGAGUGCAAAAACGCGUACGUUACUGACCCUUGAAAGCGAGUCUGUGGCGCUGGGGUAGCGUGCGUAGCCAAGCCUAAAUCCCGUAGUAACUCCUUUCGAUGUCGUUCUCUUCUACGAAAGCCCUUA
Molecule: long non-coding RNA, 1018 nt
Filed under: Apteryx haastii (Great spotted kiwi)
Lineage: Eukaryota; Metazoa; Chordata; Aves; Apterygiformes; Apterygidae
Description: lncRNA (ENSAHAG00000007395.1)
Source: RNAcentral